This is a long non-coding RNA of Gossypium arboreum, 257 nucleotides long. RefSeq lists it as uncharacterized. The record is from RefSeq and is a predicted model, not a curated record. NCBI's taxonomy places the organism in Eukaryota, Viridiplantae, Streptophyta, Magnoliopsida, Malvales, Malvaceae. The transcript is spliced from 2 exons.
AUUUUUCCAGCCAAGAAAUGGGUUUUGAAAGCUUCAUAUUUUCAGCAACUUUGAGGCUUAGCAAAUCGUUGACUCUUACUAUUAGCACGGGGAUCGUCAGCACUUCGUCACACUAUCUACUAUUGUGGUUAUCAUGUGUUUUGGACUUAGCUUAUGGCAUGUAUAGGUUAGACUAUAAGUAGAAUGAUAUUUUGACUAUUGUAUAUAAGCCAUGCGAAUAUGGCAUCUUAUAGAAGUUUACUUUUAUAAGUUUUAAA